AUCGNACGNUGGCGGCGUGCUUAACACAUGCAAGUCGAACGAGAAAGCCUUGGCUUGCCAGGGCGAGUAAAGUGGCGCACGGGUGAGUAACGCGUAGAUGAUCUACCCUUGAGUUUGGGACAACCUUGCGAAAGCGGGGCUAAUACCGGAUACGACCUUUCGGGGUGAAAGUUGGCCACUCAAAGAAGCCAAUGCUCGAGGAUGAGUCUGCGUCCUAUCAGCUGGUUGGUAGGGUAACGGCCUACCAAGGCGACGACGGGUAGCUGGUCUGAGAGGAUGAUCAGCCACACUGGCACUGGAACACGGGCCAGACUCCUACGGGAGGCAGCAGUGAGGAAUUUUGCGCAAUGGGGGAAACCCUGACGCNNNNACGCCGCGUGGGUGAUGAAGGCCUUCGGGUCGUAAAGCCCUGUCAGGUGGGAAGAAAGGCUUGGGGAUGAAUAAGCUUUAAGUUUGACGGUACCACCAGAGGAAGCACCGGCUAACUCCGUGCCAGCAGCCGCGGUAAUACGGAGGGUGCGAGCGUUAUUCGGAAUUACUGGGCGUAAAGCGCGUGUAGGCGGCUAUGCAAGUCUGAUGUGAAAGCCCUGGGCUCAACCUGGGAAGUGCAUUGGAAACUGCAUGGCUUGAGUAUCGGAGAGGAUGGGGGAAUUCCCGGUGUAGA
Molecule: ribosomal RNA, 664 nt
Filed under: uncultured bacterium
Lineage: Bacteria
Description: bacterial SSU rRNA
Rfam family: Bacterial small subunit ribosomal RNA
Source: RNAcentral